This is a long non-coding RNA of Populus trichocarpa (black cottonwood), 868 nucleotides long. RefSeq lists it as uncharacterized. NCBI's taxonomy places the organism in Eukaryota, Viridiplantae, Streptophyta, Magnoliopsida, Malpighiales, Salicaceae. The transcript has 2 exons. The record is from RefSeq and is a predicted model, not a curated record.
UCGAAGGUGGGGGUACGCGUCCAGUAUAGAUGUGCGCUCCCCAGCUGCUCAUUACUUGGUGCCACUUACCAAAGUGGAUGCCAUUGAUCGCGUGCAUUGAGCUUCUCUCAGCCGCGUGCUCUUGUUGUCAACUUGAUUCUAUUGGAUGUGUCGUUGUGACCUCAGAAACUGAGCUCAGUGAUCAAUUGGACGCUCUACAUGUUUAAUGAAGUCUAAUACUGGUCUGUCACCUUCUACAUCAUUGACAUGAUUCCACAGAUGCAGGUCCGCGUUUUCCUCAAUUGAGUGCUGUUUGUGCUGGAUCCUUGUCUCUGGAUUAUGGGACAUGUAAAAAUAAGCUGUCUGUUGAUUUGGUCAGUAUAACGAGUGAGCCUCUUGCUUUGUGGUCCAUGAGGACUAACAAUGGUUGAGAUGACUUAAAUUCUCUGCACCAAGAAGCUCACGCCCUCCAUAAACACGACAUACUUCUUCGCGUGCUUUGUUUCGCCAUUCUUGAUGCGAUGCUAAAAGGAGAAGGGCCCAAGUCAAAAGGUUGGCAAUAGUUUCCUUUCCAGCAAAGUAAAAGGCAAGAACCUGCAUGCAUAAAUGAAGCCUGAAAUCACAACCACUCGUCCAAAAUCAAGAAUAGAUUAUCACAAUACAUUUGAAUUUGUACACUAUUCAACAAGCAAAAUAAAACCCUUCCAGCUGAUUCUAGUGCAAAUGGCCUUUAGGAAAACGGGAUUGAACUGGCAGGGCAGGACCAGACAGAAUGGCAAGCUGUCCCAUGAGAGAGGGAGGACAGAAAUCUGGAAAUGAGAUGGGACAAAAACUGUUUUCUGUGAACAAAAAACAGUAUAAAUGAAGCUAUAAAAAGGAUAGUUUUGUU